UCCGCGAUAGCUCAGUCGGUAGAGCAAAUGACUGUUAAUCAUUGGGUCCCUGG
RNAcentral lists this transfer RNA (53 nucleotides) under Pseudomonas sp. BAY1663. It matches the Rfam family "tRNA", at positions 1 to 51 of the family's 71-position model. Rfam says of the family: Transfer RNA (tRNA) molecules are approximately 80 nucleotides in length. Their secondary structure includes four short double-helical elements and three loops (D, anti-codon, and T loops). The record is from Rfam by way of RNAcentral. Lineage: Bacteria; Pseudomonadati; Pseudomonadota; Gammaproteobacteria; Pseudomonadales; Pseudomonadaceae.